UGGGGAAUAUUGCGUAAUGGCCGGAAGGCUGACGCAGCGACGCCGCGUGGGGGAUGAAGCAUUUCGGUGUGUAAACCCCUGUUGCCCGGGACGAACAAGCAGAUUUUUCUGCUCUGACGGUACCGGGUGAGGAAGCACCGGCUAACUCCGUGCCAGCAGCCGCGGUAAUACGGAGGGUGCGAGCGUUGUCCGGAAUCACUGGGCGUAAAGGGCGCGUAGGCGGUCUGCUAAGCGUGCGGUGAAAGCCCGGGGCUCAACCCCGGGUCUGCCGUGCGAACUGGGGGACUAGAGCACUGUAGAGGCAGGUGGAAUUCCGGGUGUAGCGGUGGAAUGCGUAGAGAUCCGGAAGAACACCGGUGGCGAAGGCGGCCUGCUGGGCAGUAGCUGACGCUGAGGCGCGACAGCGUGGGGA
Molecule: ribosomal RNA, 412 nt
Filed under: uncultured bacterium
Lineage: Bacteria
Description: bacterial SSU rRNA
Rfam family: Bacterial small subunit ribosomal RNA
Source: RNAcentral